Long non-coding RNA from Alligator mississippiensis (American alligator), 3896 nucleotides. RefSeq lists it as uncharacterized. The transcript is spliced from 3 exons. NCBI's taxonomy places the organism in Eukaryota, Metazoa, Chordata, Crocodylia, Alligatoridae. The record is from RefSeq and is a predicted model, not a curated record.
AAUAAGAUGUUGUUUUUCCCUAAUGUUCUGAGAUACAUUUUUUCUCUGUUCUUUGAGGUUGUUUCCCUCCUUCCCACCACAUCUGAUAUUUGCAUACUUUAGCUUAGUGAGCAAGGGGAAGAGGAGAUAAAAAAUCCUGGUGCUCUUAUUAAUGCCCCUGAAUUAACUUUAAAAACCCAUCUCUUGUCGUGACUGAAAAGGGAAAUGGAUGAAGCACCUGAAGAAGCAACAGCUCUGGCUUGGAGUACGCACUAAUGUUCUGAACGCCACUCCCGAGGAAUCUGAUGGUGAUUUGGAACGAACUAUCUUGACAAGUCUGUCUGCAACAUGGCUGAUGGUCUCUGCCCUAGCUGGGAAGAGAGAGAGAAAAGAAGAGCUACCUCCUUGUUAGGCCCUCAAGCAGGCUGGGCCCAAACUUGAAAAAACCAAAGGAGUUUCACUUCAGAGCCUGUCUACAUCAGCAUGGGGAUGGGGCCACACAUGCCUUAUGUGACUAGACAUUGCUGUGGAUGUGUGCAACAACAGGGUUCUUUGUCCAGCAGUGGCCUUGCUUAUCCACAGCAGCCAAGACUUUGUCCAGGACCUUCCUGAGCCGCAGGCAUCAGGUGAGCCAGAUUGGCACUGCAUGCUAGCUAAGUGAGGAGGAAUAGCUGCUGUCAUGACAGAGCAAUUUCCAGCAGCAACUCAUUUUGCAUUUAGCCCUGAUUGACCAGAUGGCAGCUCCUGUGUUACCAGUAGACAGAGAGAGAGAGAGAGAGAGAGAAAGAGAGAGAGAGAGAGAGAGUGUGUGUGUGUGUGUGUGUGUGUGUGUACAAUUCACAUAGUAACAUAGGACCUCUAUUGUGGAGCGCCUUGGUUAAUAAUAACCACUUCCACACCUUGUCCUGGAUGACCCAGCACUGACUGCAGUUUUAUAAACACUUUGUCUGGGAGUUGCUGGGUGGUCAACACUUUUCCAAACAACAACAACAACAAAAAAGCCAAGUUUUCCAGGACUUAAAUAUGUAAUUAGGUACCCAAUUCUGGAAAAAGAAUUCUCAGUCCAAGGAUUCAUCCAUUCGGCUGUGAGCUGGCAAACUCUAGGACUGACAUGCCAGGAUUUCAAAAAGCACGGUCCAUUUCUGCAGAAUGCCUGAACCAGUAAUUCUCAAUCAGGGUGUUGCAAAAUAUUAACAUUGUUAGGUAUGUAAAUACCUGAACAUAAUUCACAAGAUAAACCCAGAGAUUUCAAAUACGAAUCCAAAGUUUCAAAAUGUCCUGAACUGUUGUGGUCUUUCUGAGUUUUUCACCACAGAAAAAUUGCUGUUAUUUUUCCAUAGUUAAAAGAGAGGUGAAAGCGAAGAGCUGGCACAUUGAGGGGUGCUUUGAGUCUAAUAAGGGUGAGAACCACUGCCUUAAACAUGCAUUAAAUGCCUUAGCUCAAACAUAACUGCAGCUUGAAUUUUGGGCCCAACACUUCCUUCAAGGAAAGCCUUUCCAACUGGCAUUUUUAGUUGGGGUCAUACUGCCACCUGCUGGCUGAACUAUAACAGUACACUAAAAGGAGCAUCACAUUUUUAAAGCAGAAAAGCCAAACAAUUUGUCUCAAUUUCUAGGAAGGAAGCAAAAAUAAAAGGCGGAAUAUGGCAUGCACAGGUAGACAAGUGGCAACUAGGGAUUCUUCAGGUUGGUGCUACUUAUUCCUGACAAGAGGGCUAGGAGGGAGGGAUCUAUGCAGAGAAUUCAACUGGAAGAUGCUAGGAGAUCUAACAUCUGGGGGAAUUGUUGGUUGGGAGCUGCUUCAAGGUGUUUAGGAGAAUUUAGAAGAUAGCUGAGAAUGAAUGGUUUGGAGACAACUUCUAUAUUAUCUUACUUGGGCCAAAUCAGCAUGGAAAAUUUUACAGAACAUCCCAUUGCCAUUUCUAAACCCUCGUAUUUCAGAGCACAAACUAGUUCUCCAGGGAGACAUGGUGGAAUCAACACAACACCUUAUAGAAAGGUAGGGGGAUCUAUGGAAUUUGAAGAUGCAAUAAAUUAUGGAUAAUAACGAGCCAAGAAAGGCCCCCUGAAUCUGAAGGCUGACAUGGGCAAACAAAUCUCUUGCUUACUGUGCAGCCAAGAAUAGGCCAGCCUCUUCUGCAGCAGGGUUUCCUCCUCCCAAUACCCCACUAAUAAUCUUUGUAGGUGCAGGACUCUUUGCUGAGGGGCAAUCCAUGUCCCACUCCUCCCUGUGGUUGCAUGGAAAUUUCUCAGAAUCUACCCAUCUUAGGUUAUCGUCCCUUGCCUCCUCACUAAGGGACUCUUCAAAGGGAUUCUGUAGCAGUGGGAGACCUGUGUGGGAGAAGUGGGGGAAGGCUUGGAACAAAGCUACAUUUGAGCCAAUAUGCCUGGGCACAGGGCAUGCUAAGAAUGCAGAAGGGAUCGAGACAUGUGGUGUAUGCAUGGAUUGCCUUAGCUCUGCAGAUGGACAGAGCCCGUGAAUAAGCCCUUAUGUCAUUCUUGAGUGUUGAUGUAGGAAAGAGUCCCUCCCCUGUGGGAAGACCUUCACAGUCCUUUCUUACUGGUCUUACACAGGACUGGCAAUCCUACUGUUGGGUUGUUUUACAUUGCUGUUCAUGACAUCCUGUGGCCAGGUAUCAGAGACAGUGCACCAGCACUUGGAAAACCAGAUCUGUAUAGCUGUUUUAUUGUGGCAGGAUAGUCAUGGCCAGCAAAAUGAGUUCACAGUAUAAAGAAGCAUGAAUCUACCAUAUGUGAAAGUAGGUAAAUGGCAGUAACGAUGGUCAAGCAAUUUUGUUUCCUAGUUAGGAAAACCAAAACAGCUAGCAUAAAAUGCAUUAAAACAAAUACGGGGGAAAAAACUAGGGGCUGACCAGCCAGCAAAAAGGAGAGAAACAGAAACCAAGUGGGUAGAGGGGAAUGAACUAACAGGAGCCUUCAGGCAGUCAGAGGCAGAUUCAGGGGAGGUGCACUGGUGUACUUGCACCCCUCUUCGAUUCCUGCUCCAUCCAAAGUUUAAAGCCAACAGCCUGGCAGCGGCACCAGCAUUUCUCUUUAGACAGCAGUAAGGGAGUCACUAGACUUCAUGGCUCAUUAAAAUCUGAUUCCUUCUAAACUCUUCAUUCCACAGGUGUUAAAGACCCUCUUCUUUUUAAUGGUCUUGAUGUUCCAUUAAUCAAGCUAGUCUGCCUACUGCAAUUCUGCUGUCUAUUAGCUGCUCCUAAUUGUCACAACCCAAGGGUGUGAUUUUUGUUUGUGUGUGCUUCGGCACUGCUGAAUUAUUUCCCGCCACUCGUAGCUUUCUUUGCAGGGUGCAUUUCUGAGCUGCAGAAAGGAAAUGCACAUUGCAAGGAGUUCCUGCCAUUUGUAUUCAGAUUCAUGCCCCACUAUUGGCCAGUUCUAAAUUAUUCUUACGUGGCGGCUAGCGAUUGGCUUGCUAGCCGUAUAAGAGGCUUGAGUGGUUUCCGCCCAAGUUGGAGGACUCCACAACUAUCAGGAGGAGAACUUCACGUCUCGUGAAGAUCUCUAAGCGCUGCGGAGCCUAUUGGACCCAGCAUGUAUAUCAAGAAGGCUAUAGGGAUCUGAUCAACCUCUCAUCUCUCCCCGUCACUGCCUGAUCCCUCGACGUACCCUUCCCUGCGCGCAAGUUCCAUGGAGCCUAGCAAACUUCGUGUGAGUGAAUCCAGAGCUCUACCUGGGGUUCGAGUCCUGCAGUUUUUUUCUUCCCGUCGCCGAAACCCCCAUUGCGACGAACUCUCGAGGUUUUUGUUCAUCUCCCAUCACCGAAACCCCAUUGCGACGUACCCUUACGUUCUGCAGGUUCAAGUUUUUUGUUUUGUUUUGUAACCGCAACUCAAGCAAGUUUUCCUGCCUGCACCGCGACCAUCUUCGGUGUAAGUAAAAUAAUCUUAAAUCAA